This 750-nucleotide ribosomal RNA is filed under the name Citrobacter sp. BAB-4934. Its description in RNAcentral is "bacterial SSU rRNA". It matches the Rfam family "Bacterial small subunit ribosomal RNA", at positions 41 to 780 of the family's 1533-position model. Lineage: Bacteria; Pseudomonadati; Pseudomonadota; Gammaproteobacteria; Enterobacterales; Enterobacteriaceae. The record is from RNAcentral.
GGCAGGCCUAACACAUGCAAGUCGAACGGUAACAGGAAGCAGCUUGCUGCUUUGCUGACGAGUGGCGGACGGGUGAGUAAUGUCUGGGAAACUGCMCGAUGGAGGGGGAUAACUACUGGAAACGGUAGCUAAUACCGCAUAAUGUCGCAAGACCAAAGAGGGGGRCCUUCGGGCCUCUUGCCAUCGGAUGUGCCCAGAUGGGAUUAGCUWGUUGGUGAGGUAACGGCUCACCAAGGCGACGAUCCCUAGCUGGUCUGAGAGGAUGACCAGCCACACUGGAACUGAGACACGGUCCAGACUCCUACGGGAGGCAGCAGUGGGGAAUAUUGCACAAUGGGCGCAAGCCUGAUGCAGCCAUGCCGCGUGUAUGAAGAAGGCCUUCGGGUUGUAAAGUACUUUCAGCGGGGAGGAAGGGGUUAAGGUUAAUAACCUUAGCCAUUGACGUUACCCGCAGAAGAAGCACCGGCUAACUCCGUGCCAGCAGCCGCGGUAAUACGGAGGGUGCAAGCGUUAAUCGGAAUUACUGGGCGUAAAGCGCACGCAGGCGGUCUGUCAAGUCGGAUGUGAAAUCCCCGGGCUCAACCUGGGAACUGCAUUCGAAACUGGCAGGCUUGAGUCUCGUAGAGGGGGGUAGAAUUCCAGGUGUAGCGGUGAAAUGCGUAGAGAUCUGGAGGAAUACCGGUGGCGAAGGCGGCCCCCUGGACGAAGACUGACGCUCAGGUGCGAAAGCGWGGRGAGCAAACAGGAUUA